This 369-nucleotide transfer-messenger RNA is filed under the name bacterium TMED178. It matches the Rfam family "transfer-messenger RNA". From Rfam's summary of the family: Bacterial tmRNA, also known as 10Sa RNA or SsrA, is named for its dual tRNA and mRNA-like properties. The record is from RNAcentral. RNAcentral also lists the same sequence under 3 other names.
GGGGGCGCUUGGCUUCGACGUGAAUUACAAAACUCGAGGUGCAUGUCGAGCUUGCAAAGUAGCUCGUAAAACCAAUUGCUCAACAUAUAGUUGCAAACAAAAAAGCAUCUAACGAUGCCUUCUUCGCUGAAGACGCAAUAGCGGCCUAAGUGAACCACAACAAGUUUGUGCUUGUGCGAAUUUAGCGUGGUCAUAUUACACAAGAUCGCAUACUUAGAAGCCUAGUCUAAGUGUGUUAAAUAAAUAGGAUCGGUAUUUUGCCUUUUGCACAUUAAAGGCUCAAUAUUUAAAUCAAUCAAUGAUGCUAAGCAUGUAGUACCAACAGCGGCGGAUUUGCGGACGCGGGUUCGAUUCCCGCCGCCUCCACCA